CCUACGGGCGGCAGCAGUGGGGAAUAUUGGACAAUGGGGGGAACCCUGAUCCAGCCAUGCCGCGUGUGUGAAGAAGGCCCUCGGGUUGUAAAGCACUUUCAGUGAGGAAGAACGCCUGGUGGUUAAUACCCAUCAGGAAAGACAUCACUCACAGAAGAAGCACCGGCUAACUCCGUGCCAGCAGCCGCGGUAAUACGGAGGGUGCGAGCGUUAAUCGGAAUUACUGGGCGUAAAGCGCGCGUAGGUGGCUUGAUAAGCCGGUUGUGAAAGCCCCGGGCUCAACCUGGGAACGGCAUCCGGACCUGUCAAGCUAGAGUGCAGGAGAGGAAGGUAGAAUUCCCGGUGUAGCGGUGAAAUGCGUAGAGAUCGGGAGGAAUACCAGUGGCGAAGGCGGCCUUCUGGACUGACACUGACACUGAGGUGCGAAAGCGUGGGUAGCAAACAGGAUUAGAUACCCUAGUAGUC
This 465-nucleotide ribosomal RNA is filed under the name Vreelandella stevensii. RNAcentral describes it as "partial 16S ribosomal RNA". It matches the Rfam family "Bacterial small subunit ribosomal RNA", at positions 338 to 795 of the family's 1533-position model. Lineage: Bacteria; Pseudomonadati; Pseudomonadota; Gammaproteobacteria; Oceanospirillales; Halomonadaceae. The record is from RNAcentral.